This 403-nucleotide ribosomal RNA is filed under the name uncultured prokaryote. RNAcentral's name for it is "bacterial SSU rRNA". It matches the Rfam family "Bacterial small subunit ribosomal RNA", at positions 355 to 774 of the family's 1533-position model. The record is from RNAcentral.
UAGGGAAUAUUGGACAAUGGGCGAAAGCCUGAUCCAGCAACGCCGCGUGUGCGAUGACGGCCUUCGGGUUGUAAAGCACUUUUAGGGGAGAUGAGAAAGGACAGUAUACCCUGAAUAAGCCUCGGCGAACUACGUGCCAGCAGCCGCGGUAAAACGUAGGAGGCUAGCGUUAUCCGGAUUUAUUGGGCGUAAAGCGAGUGCAGGCGGUUUGUGAAGUUGGAUGUGAAAGCUCGGGGCUCAACGUGGAGAGGUCGUUCGAAACUGUCAGACUAGAGAAUGGGAGAGGGAGGUGGAAUUCCGGGUGUAGUGGUGAAAUGCGUAGAUAUCCGGAGGAACACCAGUGGCGAAAGCGGCCUCCUGGACCACUUCUGACGCUAAUACGCGAAAGCUAGGGUAGCAAACG